This 253-nucleotide ribosomal RNA is filed under the name uncultured bacterium. RNAcentral's name for it is "partial 16S ribosomal RNA". It matches the Rfam family "Bacterial small subunit ribosomal RNA", at positions 524 to 776 of the family's 1533-position model. The record is from RNAcentral.
UACGUAGGUGGCAAGCGUUGUCCGGAUUUACUGGGCGUAAAGCGUAUGCAGGCGGAUGCUUAAGUAGGAAGUGAAAGGUUGGAGCUCAACUCUAACACUGCUCCCUAUACUGGGUGUCUUGAGUGCCGGAGAGGAAGAUGGAACUGCGCGUGUAGCGGUGAAAUGCGUUGAGAUGUGCAGGAACACCAAUGGCGAAAGCAGUCUUCUGGACGGAUACUGACGCUGAGAUACGAAAGCCAAGGUAGCAAACAGG